GCAGUGGUGGUUCUGUGGUCCAGUUCUCACCUUCCAUGUGGGAGACCUGGGUUCAAUUCCCAGCCAGUGAA
Molecule: transfer RNA, 71 nt
Filed under: Loxodonta africana (African savanna elephant)
Lineage: Eukaryota; Metazoa; Chordata; Mammalia; Proboscidea; Elephantidae
Rfam family: tRNA
About the family: Transfer RNA (tRNA) molecules are approximately 80 nucleotides in length. Their secondary structure includes four short double-helical elements and three loops (D, anti-codon, and T loops).
Source: Rfam by way of RNAcentral